GCUCCUGUGGCCUAGUGGUUAGAGCGUCCGCCUCGGAUGCGGAAGGUUGUGGUUUGACGUUGCUAGACGAGUUGCA
This is a non-coding RNA of Potamilus streckersoni, 76 nucleotides long. The record is from the annotation of a GenBank genome assembly. Lineage: Eukaryota; Metazoa; Mollusca; Bivalvia; Unionida; Unionidae.